Gamsiella multidivaricata is the source of this 73-nucleotide non-coding RNA. The record is from the annotation of a RefSeq genome assembly. NCBI's taxonomy places the organism in Eukaryota, Fungi, Mortierellomycota, Mortierellomycetes, Mortierellales, Mortierellaceae.
GCUCAGUUAGCAUACUGGUCAGGGCACCUCCCUUGUAACGCGAAGGGACCAGGUUCGAGCCCUGGUUAAAGCA